UCAAAUUUGUGCCAUAAGGCUUGUAAAUUUGCUCUUAGUCUCUAGGUAAAUGUCUUUCUACUGUGAUAAAAAGUAUCACCUCCCUUUUCCUUACUUGGCCUAAUUUCACGUGUAGUUCUAGUCACAUCCCCUUCUGCUGAAGCUGUUAGGUGUCUCCAUUGCCCACCGGAUGAACACACACCCUUGGGCUGCGACUGACCAGUCCUCCACAUCUGGCCCAGGCAGGUGCUUACAGCCAACCCCUUCUGCUACCAUGUUUGAUCCCGUGCUCCUGCCAAGGUGAAUUACUUGCUGUUUCUGAGUAACUUCUCUCACCUCUACACAAUAUUUCUGCCUCUUAAUUGGGGUGCCACCUUUCUUCUCCCAUUCCUUUGAGGCCUAAGUCUGACUUCCUGACACUCUUCAAUUCUAACUCUUCUGGCCACCUGGAGGUCUUUUACCUUUUCAGCAUCAUAUAUACCAUUCUUUUUUUAAGAACAGUAAUUGACUUAUUUUUGUGCCUACUCGAAUGUCUGUGAUGGAGCAUGCAACUAUUUUCUUCAAAUGGAGUAUCCCCUAAAUUGCAAGAAACCCUUCUCACUGCUUUUGUGGAUUAUUUUAAGUACUUAAGUCAUAAAGAGUGCUUGUUACAGGCAGUGCUGUACAUGUAGAAUAUAGUUUACAAAGUAUUUAUUGUUCAUUGAAAUGCAUGUGACAGUACACGUGAAGAAAUCAAGAGACAGCUUGACGAUGUAUCUUAAUUUCAGCAAGUCAGAGUGAUUUAUUGUAACUGUGAUAGCAAGAUUUCAUAGUGCAAUAGUACAUUUGAGUGGAUCUUAAUUAUGCACUUCUGUAUUGAUAUGUUUAAUAGAUAUGUAACAACAUGUCAAGUUGCAUAAAGCUGUCCUGUCCAGUUAAAUUGUGUUUGUGUGAGAGAGAGCUAGAUCAGUCUGCAGAUGACACAGUACGGUGGGAAGCCAAAAGAGAUUAAAAUUCAGAAAGACGUUAGGCUGAAACACAAGUAAAACCAACAAGAAGCAGUUUAAGUGGGAGAAAUGUAAAUCUAGUUAGGAUUUAUAGAAAUCACGUUGCGUAAGUCCAGAAUAUGGGCAGGAAUCCGUCUUGGCAUUUCUUCAUGUGAGAGCCGGUGUGUUAGUUUAUUGUAGCCUUAUUAUGAGUCAGACAUGAUUUCUCUACUUGAAAGGUGGGAGUGCAACCUUGGUUUAGAACACAUUAAUCACACAAAGCCGUCUUCCUUCAUUGAUAGCCAGUUCUCAUUUGAAACUGGUGUUUGAUUUGGGGUAUCUUUGUUGUUUUUAAGUGAAACAUUGCUUGGCUAGACUCCAUUCAAUGGAGGAGGGAGUCUGGGAUAGUGAGUGGAUUGUAAACUGUGUUAGCAACUUUCCAGGUGUCUCCCUUGCAGUUUUUUGCUGUUCUAGGGGGCAGAUCUGAAGCCGUGAGUGGAAAUAACCUCACUGUUAGAAAAAAUCAUCACAAUGUCUGGAGCUACCCAGUAGCAGAAUACCUUACCUGAGGGAAUGAGCAUCUCUUCCCGAAGUUCCUAGCAGAAAGGUUGCUGAUUAUGUCUGAACAGUGCAGCAGGGUUUUCCAGCACUUGGCGGGGGUUAAAGUAGACAGACACCAAGAUCCCUUCCUGUUCAGCAGUUCUGUGGUAUCAGGUACUUUACAGUGCUGGGGGUGCUUGGAUAGCUCUGUGCUUUGAUCAAAUUUUGUCAAGAGGAAGAUAGAAACAGUAGUGGGAAGCAGCUGCUCUUAUUAUUUUACCAUAACAAACUGCUUGAUCUUUGUCCUCAUCUUUCUCUGAUGCUUAUAAAUUUUCACUGGGAGACUGUUGAGUUAGGAUAGGAAUCAGGAUGCCUUCAUCACAUUUGGAUUUGAGAUGUGUUAUCACCUGGCAAAUGGUACCGUCAUAAUAUAAAUGUAGCUUGUCAGGACUUCAAGUCUGUGGACUCCACACUUAAAUUACAAGUCUGUUAUUAGAAAAAAAAUUCUAUACACUACUAAUGUAAGUAUAAAUUGUAUGUAUGUACUUUCGUUGUACUUAUAAAGCCUUCACAAAAGGAAACAUUAGGAUAAUACGAAAAGACAUUCUAACAUUUUUCUUUCCACAUCCCAGUAGAUCAUCUUUCAUUAGAGCCUGGAACAUAAUGUACCUCACUUUGGAAGUGAUUGCUCUUUGGCAUAGAACUUGGGAUCUUGCUUUCGCAUUUAUUUUUAAGCAAAAGAGUUCUAGCAACUUACAGGUGCGUAGAUCCAUGUAGAUUAAUAAAAGGAUAUGAAAUGUGUAAAGGAUCCAUGCUGUGUAUAAAAUGUCCAGAGUGUUAGACACAGUACGCCCUUGAAAAAGUAGACUGGUAAAGGGCGUGUGGCAACAUUUUUUAGCACAUGUAGUUUGGAGCACGAUGCUGGGACUUAAGUCAGGACUAAGAGAUUUGCGUUGAUGUGCAUAAAGAUGAUCUUUGAAACCAUAGAAGUAGGUAUCUCUAAGGCAGUACAUAAUCAAAAGCACAGACAGCUGAGAGAAAACUUUGGAAAGCCCUCACUUUUAGAGGCUGGGUAGAGAAGGAGCUGGGAAGAGUAAGAGGAAGCAGUUGAAAGGGUGGGAGAGGUAGGGGUGGGAGGGGGUGCCAGGGUAACAGGCCUGCAGAAGAGAAGUUUGAAUUUGCCCAGAGGCUGGGGAGCCAGGGCCCUGAACUCCCACUCGUCAGUGAGUGCCUGCUGAGUGCCAGUGUGGAUUAAACACGCUCUUAGCAGCAGCAGCCAGCCUCCAAGUGCUUCUCUGAGCUCAGGGGAGUAUGCUUUCAAGAAACUAGGACGAGUGGAAACUGAGUGGCAGGGAAGGAGCAGGUGCAGACCAUGGCUGGGAAGGCACGGCAGUGUCACGUGGCAGAUGUGUCCGUCCAGGCCCUCAGGACUUCUCUCCAAGAGACCUAAAGCACUGGUGGCUGGGGAGACCUGUUUGUAAUUGGCAGAAAAAUUGCUCACAGUUUAAAAGGAAAUGUCACAGACUCUGGUGUGUGUGAAGACUCGCCGUGUGAGGGAGGCCUGCAGCUUCACAUCACGGCUCAACUUUCAGCUCCAUUUCCGUAAAGAAUGUCUGCAUGAUCAUAGAAAAUGAAGAUAACUAGUGUUUUCUUACUUGGUUCUUCAAAGUCUGACCACAGGCCAAGAGAAUAAAUCUACUUGUUGUGGGUGGUUGUGACCCCCAUCAGAUUCCCGGAGGAGAGAAAGGAAAAAUACAUUUCAGAGAAAAUAUUUUUAAUGCAUCAAGACAGUAAAGUGGACUUCCAAAUACAGAGAUAUGGCUCUCAUAUCCUGAUUAUUCGUUAAAGUAACUUAAAAUAAAAAGUCCAGUGUCAAACA
Non-coding RNA from Vicugna pacos (alpaca), 3363 nucleotides. Lineage: Eukaryota; Metazoa; Chordata; Mammalia; Artiodactyla; Camelidae. The record is from RefSeq and is a predicted model, not a curated record.